Molecule: ribosomal RNA, 1581 nt
Filed under: Triticum aestivum (bread wheat)
Lineage: Eukaryota; Viridiplantae; Streptophyta; Magnoliopsida; Poales; Poaceae
Description: partial small subunit ribosomal RNA
Source: RNAcentral
AUGCAUGCUUCACCUGCCAGCAUCGAUCGGUCACUAACUUCAUUUCCACCUACUCAUGUCCAGCUGAAUCACGGAACAAGGCCGGCCACUGGAUUCUACGACUGUUUGAACACCGGCCGGCCGGCUGCGCUCCAGUUCUUAAUCCUCAGUCAGAAAUCACAAUCCCAUUCCAGGUGCAAUGGAUUUUGCCAUACUGUUGCUUCUCUUGAUCUUUGCACCAGCAGGGAUGCCAUCAUUUACCAGCUGCCCCUCAUCCACCUUCGCUCACCAUAUGUAGCUCAGUCAGUGUCGCUCAUCUUCAACCUCGCUAGCCAGUAUCGCACUUACAUUGUUCUUACAAUGACUGUAGAUCAUGUUGUCAACUCAGAAGGUGCACUUGAGUUCCCCUUGUUUCACACCGACCACCCGUGCGUCCAACAACAUCGUGGUCGUCCGAUGUCAACUGAAAGCAUCAGUGAAACUGAUGAUACAGACCUACCCAUUGACUUGAUACGGAAUGACAGCAUAAACAACUUUGCCUUUCUAAUGCCCGUCCAGCUGGGCACGCCACCGGUCUGGAACCUCGUGGCAGUUGACACUGGAUCUCCAUUCUGCUUUGUUCAGUGUAGACCUUGCACCCUCUGGUGCAACGAUCAAGAGGGUGCUGGCCAGAUAUUCGAUCCCAAGAAGUCCAAGAGUUUCAGGCGUAUUGGGUGCUCGGCGAAAGCCUGCCGAGCACUUCAGUCGCGGCUGCGUCUGCCGUUCAAAGCAUGCAUGGAGAAAGAGGAUAGCUGCCUUUACAGUGCCUCAUACGGGAAAGGAUCCUAUUAUUCAGUCGGCAAGCUGGUGGCAGACACAAUCUCCAUUGGGCGUGAUGGCAAGGGAUACAGUAUUCCCAGCUUCAUCUUCGGCUGCAGCUUGGACAUCGAGUAUGAUCAGGGCGAGGCCGGCAUAUUCGGGUUCGGUGCCGCGCCGUCUUCUUUCUUCUCACAGGUAGUACGGGUGGUUAACUAUCGGGCAUUCAGCUACUGUUUUCCGAGUGACAGAAAGAAGACUGGAUAUUUGUCCAUCGGGGAUUACAACCGUGACAAUUCUACUUCUUACACCCCCUUGUUCGUGGCUCAUCAACGGCCAGUGUUUGCACUGACGCUGGAUAAGGUGGUGGUCAAUGGGAUCACGCUGAUCACAGACCCCUCAGAAAUGAUGGUUGACACUGGGGCAAAAUGGACGGUGCUGCGGUCUGAUACCUUCAGCCAACUUGAGACGGUAAUCUCCAAGGCUUUGGGAACUUUGGGAUAUAAGCGCACCCUUGUUCUGGGACCAAAUCAUAUGUGCUAUGAGGAGGACUUAUUCACAGUGUUCCGCAAUUGGUCCGCUUUGCCUGUGGUACAACUUUCGUUCGACAUGGGUGCUACACUUACAUUGGCACCCGAGAGCUCAUUUCAUUUUAGAAGCAGUCAUGGACUAUGCACGUAUUUCAUGAGAGAUGCUGGCAUGGGGAAAGCAGGUUUGCAGCUGGUGGGGAACUCGGUCACACGAUCGAUCGGCGUCACCUUUGAUUUUCAAGGGGGGCGGUUUGCUUUUCGGGAUGGAGACUGCUGA